UACGUAGGGUGCAAGCGUUGUCCGGAAUUAUUGGGCGUAAAGAGCUUGUAGGCGGUUUGUCGCGUCUGCUGUGAAAUUUCGGGGCUCAACUCCGAACUUGCAGUGGGUACGGGCAGACUAGAGUGUGGUAGGGGAGACUGGAAUUCCUGGUGUAGCGGUGAAAUGCGCAGAUAUCAGGAGGAACACCGGUGGCGAAGGCGGCUUCCUGGACCGACACUGACGCUGAGGCGCGAAAGCUAGGGGAGCAAACGGG
Molecule: ribosomal RNA, 253 nt
Filed under: uncultured bacterium
Lineage: Bacteria
Description: partial 16S ribosomal RNA
Rfam family: Bacterial small subunit ribosomal RNA
Source: RNAcentral